GCGUUAUCCGGAAUUAUUGGGCGUAAAGCGUUCGUAGGCUGUUUAUUAAGUCUGGAGUCAAAUCCCAGGGCUCAACCCUGGCUCGCUUUGGAUACUGGUAAACUAGAGUUAGAUAGAGGUAAGCGGAAUUCCAUGUGGAGCGGUGAAAUGCGUAGAUAUAUGGAAGAACACCAAAGGCGAAGGCAGCUUACUGGGUCUAUACUGACGCUGAGGGACGAAAGCGUGGGGAGCAAACAGGAUUAGAUACCCUGGUAGUCCACGCUGUAAACGAUGAUCAUUAGUCGGUGGAAAACUACUGACGCAGCUAACGCAUUAAAUGAUCCGCCUGAGUAGUAUGCUCGCAAGAGUGAAACUUAAAGGAAUUGACGGGGACCCGCACAAGCGGUGGAGCAUGUGGUUUAAUUUGAAGAUACGCGGAGAACCUUACCCACUCUUGACAUCCCCUGCAAAGCUAUAGAGAUAUAGUAGAGGUUAACAGGGUGACAGAUGGUGCAUGGUUGUCGUCAGCUCGUGUCGUGAGAUGUUUGGUCAAGUCCUGCAACGAGCGCAACCCCUAUCUUUAGUUACUAACGAGUCAUGUCGAGGACUCUAGAGAUACUGCCUGGGUAACCGGGAGGAAGGUGGGGAUGACGUCAAAUCAUCAUGCCUCUUACGAGUGGGGCUACACACGUGCUACAAUGGUCGGUACAAAGAGAAGCAAUAUGGCGACAUGGAGCAAAUCUCAAAAAGCCGAUCUCAGUUCGGAUUGAAGUCUGCAAUUCGACUUCAUGAAGUCGGAAUCGCUAGUAAUCGCAGAUCAGCUACGCUGCGGUGAAUACGUUCUCGGGUCUUGUACACACCGCCCGUCACACCAUGGGAGCUGGUAAUACCCAAAGUCGGUUUGCUAACCUCGGAGGCGACU
Molecule: ribosomal RNA, 901 nt
Filed under: Metamycoplasma orale
Lineage: Bacteria; Bacillati; Mycoplasmatota; Mycoplasmoidales; Metamycoplasmataceae
Description: bacterial SSU rRNA
Rfam family: Bacterial small subunit ribosomal RNA
Source: RNAcentral